AACGAACGCUGGCGGCAUGCCUAACACAUGCAAGUCGAACGCCUGUAGCAAUACAGGAGUGGCAGACGGGUGCAUAACACGUGGGAACCUACCCUUGGGUUCGGAAUAACCGCGGGAAACUGCGGCUAAUACCGGAUACGUCCUGUGGGAGAAAGAUUCAUCGCCCUUGGAGGGGCCCGCGUCGGAUUAGCUAGUUGGUGAGGUAACGGCUCACCAAGGCGACGAUCCGUAGCUGAUCUGAGAGGAUGAUCAGCCACACUGGAACUGAGACACGGUCCAGACUCCUACGGGAGGCAGCAGUGGGGAAUAUUGGACAAUGGCGCAAGCCUGAUCCAGCAAUGCCGCGUGGGUGAUGAAGGCCUUCGGGUUGGUAAAGCCCUUUGGUCAGGGACGAUGAUGACGGU
Molecule: ribosomal RNA, 404 nt
Filed under: uncultured bacterium
Lineage: Bacteria
Description: bacterial SSU rRNA
Rfam family: Bacterial small subunit ribosomal RNA
Source: RNAcentral